This 1854-nucleotide unclassified non-coding RNA is filed under the name Hevea brasiliensis (rubber tree). Lineage: Eukaryota; Viridiplantae; Streptophyta; Magnoliopsida; Malpighiales; Euphorbiaceae. The record is from RNAcentral.
CUUUCACCAAUCUUCUCUCCCCUCCCUAUCUCCGAGAUUCUGAUUCAGGAAAGUUGGACAUCCAUGAAAAUUACUAAGAAGCGAAUGGCAAAGGUGGUUGAAGCAACCACAAAGUUUAAAGUGUGUGCAGGUCAGCCUCAAGUUGGUAAAUCUAUUAACAGAACGAGGGGCCGAUGUCCCAAACCUACAGGGAAAAGUGAAGAACUUUUGGUAAAAAAAGAUGAGCAUUCUUUGCCUUGCGGGUCGGCUGAAGCAUACCCACCUCUUUUAGACAAAAGUAAAUGUUAUACAGAAACAAAAGAGAGAUCACCUAUUCCUGAACAAUAUCCAGAGCAAACUCUUCAUACUUCUGCAAAGGUCAAGUUGCAGCUUUUUCCAUAUGAUGAAGUCACUCGCAUGGGAUUGGAGAAGGAUGGGUAUCAUCCGUACUUAGAACUCACUCUUAGUGCUAGGAAAAAGAUAUCUUCUGUCCUUAAGCACCUGAAUAACAAAUGGGGUGGUUCAAGCAUUGCUAAUGGGGAGCCCAUUCUUUUCCCAUACACACUAUCUGAAGAUUUAGCUAGUUACAGAUGGACAUUGAAUGAUGAUGGCCUCACUGCAGGAGAUGUCUAUGUGUCUAUUGGACGCCCUUCUAUUUUUCGCUUAAGGUAUGGCUGGUUCUCCAAUUGUGAAAAUAAAUUGUCUGGAGCGCCUUCAGUAUCAACUCCCUUUGAGGUUUGUUUACAAUCUCAAGGCAUUCAGAAGGGAGGCAGUAGUAAUAUGGAAAGUAUACUUGGCAAGGAGAAACAAAUGGAGGUAACGAGUGAAGAGUUGAAAGCAGCUGUAAGUGUGGCGGAUAAGACAACUUUGAAUGGAUUAACUGAACCUAUGUGCAAUGAAGUGAAGAUGCAUCUAGGCAUGGGGCAGUCAUCCUGUCUGUGGGAUGAUAGUCUAACCAACAUAAGUAUUGGAGGCCUGCUGUCUGAGGCAUCCUUGCAGGGCAAGUUCAGUAAUUGUGAUCCAAAAUCAGAUGGAAGUAAUGCAGGCUUGCAGCCAUCUCAGUUAAUCUCUGAUUCAUUUGAUGCUUUUAUCAUGGCCCAAGUAAAUCAUUCCCAAGCUCCAAAGCCACCUUCUCAUGGUUCAAGCUCAUCCAUUUUGGACGCUGAAGACACUUGUCAUGCAUUUCCUUUUCAAAAGUUUUCUUCCUCAGGCAAAGAUGGAAGUGCUUAUGCUCGUACCUGCAGCCAGGAUGCCGUUUCCAAGUCAUUUAAACAACCAAUCACUAGUGAGGUUAACAUCCAAUCUGGCCUUCCACAAGGCCAUGGCUGUCAAGAAUCCAAAACAGACUUGUCACUUUGUUGUCAAUUUUAUAACGAUGAAAGCAGCCUUGGGCUCUCAGGAAUCAAAUGGACAGACUCUUUGGGACCAUUUGAUCUUGGCCUAUCUUCUUCUAAAAGGAUUAUUAGUGGUGACAGUUUAAGCAUUAGCAGAGUUGUUAGCUAGCAGUACGAUCACAUUGCAACUCUUUUGAAGAUAGAAAGAUAUCUUGAAGAUGCUCAUGCAGUACAGUAGUUGGAAACUGAAGCGAAUAAGUUAAAACCUGCUGAUUGGACAAGCAACAUAGAAUAUCGUUUUUCAAUCUGUUUAUAUGUUCAAUUUAAUUUAUCAUUAGGCUCCGGUGCAAAUUAAAGAAAUGCCAAAGGAAGGGAGCAUAACUUUUUGAUUUCCAUGAACAUGAGAUCAAAGUCGGAGGUACAUAUGGAUAAAUUUGUUUUUUUCCAUUGUUGAUUUUGAUGGUGGCAAUCAUAUAUACAGGGAUAUUACCUUGAUAGCUCUGCAUUGCUUUUGUCUCAUGUAACAAAUACAAUGAAGUUC